Ictalurus punctatus (channel catfish) is the source of this 3448-nucleotide long non-coding RNA. NCBI's taxonomy places the organism in Eukaryota, Metazoa, Chordata, Actinopteri, Siluriformes, Ictaluridae. The record is from Ensembl.
UCUCUGCAUCUCUCUCUGUCUCUCUCUCAGGUGUCCAUGACUGCUCUGGAUAAUAUCGUAUUAAAUCACUCCAGGACAUAGAGAACGAGUAUAACUACACGUUUGCAAUAGAAGAACAGGCUGCCAUGAGACCCCGCUCCUAGGUGACAUCACUCUUGUAAACCCCGCCCACAGAUUACACCUGACUCCGGCGUUUUAUUUAUUAUCAUUAAAACCAUACAUUUAAACAAACUUUCUCCCAAACAGCAAACAUGUGCUAAUGAUGACCAAAGUCUGUUAAUGUGUACUUGUCAUGUAUGCUAAUUAGUCCUCAUUAAUGAAUUAAUUAAUCAUUAGUAAAUUAUGGCAUUUCUGUCUCGAAGGAUGAAAAAAGAGCCUUUUGAAUGAGAGAGACUUUAUUAUCGGUGCUUAAAACUGCUGCCUAUGUAGGUGCUGUUAAAGUUAAUAUUAUCAGUACACUUUUAAUAUUACAUUAUAUUUUAUAACCAACUACAGGCCAGCCGUGCUUUGGGUGAUUUCAGGAUCCGUCCUGCAACCGUUUUAGAAUCGUUUGAUUGUUUAGUUGUUGGUUUUUUGCCAGAUUGGGAAUUUCCAGUCCGUCAGGCUUACAUUUAACCACAUUAAUAUGGGAGAAAUAUGGGAGGAAAAAAAGCAGAUAUAUUUAAAUAAUCCAGUCACACAACCCCACAGGGUCAGGACACACUGAGCUGGUAAAGACGGCUCAGUGUUAUUCAUAAUUCUGUGACAAAUGAACAAAUUAUUUUCAUUAAUGAAGCAAAAGUCUGUUUUUAUUUUUACUGUGCUGAACUCUUUUGUGGUUGUUGUCAUGGUUACAUUAGAUUUAUCUACCUUAGAGACCUUUCAAUAUAACAGAGUAAUGCACAACCACCAGCCGGCCAAUCAGAAAUGAGUAUUUCCAGUGGCAUAUCACAAAAUAAACAUACAUAGUAAUGAGGUAUAUGAUGCUCGAUAUUAUCUCGCUUGUUAUGUACUUACUGACCGACUCGUUAAUCAGUCACUAAAUAUUCAUUUUAAAUGAAAAAUAGAGACGUAAACACUAAUCAAUCAGUUAGCUGGCCAGUGUUAGCGCUAGCGUCCAUUUUCCAUAUAUCAGGGCUGUCCAGUCUUCUCCAGAAAGGGCCGGUGUGGGUGCAGGUUUUAAUUCCAACCGAGCAGUAGCCACGCUUGAUGGUCUGUUGAAAGCCAAACUUGAUUCCACAGUUGAUAACACAGGUGGAAUCAGGUGUGGAUCCUACUUGAUUGAAAUGAAAACCUGCAGCCACGCCGGCCCUUUGCGGAUAAGACCAGACGCCCCUGCCAUAUAAAUGGUAUGGUAAGGUGAGAUUACUACCUAGAUUGGCCAAUCAAAAUGCCUGUGUAACUACCUUAAAAUAUGCUGUGAUGCCUGCUACAGUACCCUUCGAAACUAUUGGAACGACAAAGCCAAUUAAUUUGGGUUUGAAAUCAAAAGAUGAGAUGAGAAUUUAGGAUUUCAGCUUUUAUUUCCUGGUAUUUACAUCUCGAUGUGUUCAACAACAUAAAACAUAGAACCUUUUGUAUCAGGAAGUCUUCAAGUGGUGGAUUGUGAUGCUUCCACCCCUGCACUGUGGAGGUUGUUGAUGAUGGCACUGACUGUUGUUUUGGGGUUUUCUUCAUAGCUCUCACUAUGUUUGUCAUCAGAUGUUGUUGUUUUCCUUGGCCGAUGCAUUCGGUGUUUGUUCCUCAGUCCACCAGCGGUUUCUUUCUUUUCAGUACAUUUCAGGUUGUUGUAAAGCCUCUGAUUGAUUUUCCGUCUUUUCUCAGCUUCAAAACAACUUUCUGUUCUCCCAUAGACAGCUCUCUGAUCUUCGUGUUGGUUUAUCCUUUUUAACAGCAAAUCUUCAGUCUUCAUAGGUGAAACUGAAGGCUCAAAUUAAGAGUAGAUGUUCAGAGCUAUUUAUUGUUUAAACAAUCAAUCUAACAGGACCCACCUGGGUAACAAGAACAUGUUCCAGUAUUUUUGCUCGGUUACAAAUUGGGUUGUCUGAUAAAAAUUGUGCUGUGUUCUCUGGUGUUUAACACGUCUACAUAUAAAUACCAGGAAAUAAAAGCUGAAAUUCUAAACUCUCUUCUCAUAUUCAUGUUUGAUCUCAAACCCAAAUGUCUUGUCUUCAGAAAAAAACAACUGAACUGGCCUUGUGUUCCAAUAGUUUCGGAGGGGACUGUAUAUCAUUCGCAGUGACACUGAAGUCUGUAUUAUGCAAGUUUACAUAUAAUAUAUAUAUAUAUAUAUAUAUAUAUACACACACACACACACACACACACACAUACAUAUACACACAUACAUAUAUAUGUAUGUAUGUAUGUAUGUGUGUGUAUUUGCACUGCUGAGUGUAACUAGCCAGAUCUGUUGCACGGAGAUUUUGUGAGUUACAGAUUUAUUCUGAAAUAAUAAUUAUUACAGGUCAAGAAACCAACAAACAAGAAACAUAUACACAUCCCAUCUGGGUACAAGACUGCAGCCAGAAUUCCUUUUGAUUUAUUCUAUAUAAUAUCCAGUUAUUUUUAAGUGCAUAUCUUUUCAUUUAUUUUAAUUAAUAUACUAUGAUACACUGAUAUGUGAAGAACGUGUAGAGCAAAUACAGAAAACAAAAAUAGAAGAUAAAUAAUACACUCUCUCUCUCUCUCUCACACACACACACACACACACACACACACACACACACACACUUGUAUGUAUACCUAUGUGAAGUGUAUUUUAUCAUAUAUUUUGCAGUGAAGGAAAUGGCUAUUUUUGUUCUUUAGUGUACGUCACAUUUUAAUGUAUUAAGAAGGACUUAAGAUUCUUAUUCUGGAAUAUUUCUUAGUUUUUUAAUUGAAAACUGGUGUAAUCUAAAACCAAUUCAUAUAUAAAAUGUGUUUAUCGAAAAUCAAAACCUGAAUGAUGAUGCAUUUUAUUUGAUAUUCUCAGCUAUAACCUAUAUAUUUUUAAUGUUUAUAUCAGAUGGGUCCAACUAUUAUUUGAAUUACUUUUUUCUUUCUUUCUUUCUUUUUUUCUGGCCAAAAUACAGUAAAAUACAGCGUGUUUUAUGAAGUUUUAUAGAAUAUUAAAAUCCUGCCGUAGUGUUUGUGAGGUUUCUAAUACUUCUUAAUGCUUCUUUAUUUUGGUUGUGGUUUAUAAUUGCAUUUAUGAUGAUUUAAACAUUUGUAUUUAUUCUUAUACUUUUUUAUGUUAGGACCAAACUUCAAAGGGUGUUUAAAAUUUUUUUUUAAAAUAUCCAUAAUAAAUUUCUGUCUGUAUUAAAUGUACGUUUGUGCUUUGGAAUGAUAUUUCUCUGUUAGACUUUGUAAGGUUAAAUAAUAAAUUAUGAAGUAUAUAAUUAUUUAUAAUAAUUAUAAUAAGGACAUGAAUAAAUAAUAAUACACAUUUGGACGUUUAUUAUUUAUCAGUAUCAUGACAUCAUAAAAG